Long non-coding RNA from Oncorhynchus keta (chum salmon), 6628 nucleotides. RefSeq lists it as uncharacterized. The record is from RefSeq and is a predicted model, not a curated record. Lineage: Eukaryota; Metazoa; Chordata; Actinopteri; Salmoniformes; Salmonidae. The transcript has 20 exons.
GUGGGUUACACAGCAGCUGUUUCUCUGGUGAGUUACACAGCAGCUGUUUCUCUGGUGGGUUACACAGCAGCUGUUUCUCUGGUGGGUUACACAGCAGCUGUUUCUCUGGUGGGUUACACAGCAGCUGUUUCUCUGGUGGGUUACACAGCUUAUGUUUCUCUCAGAAGUAGCAGGUUGUUUACCUUGUCAUCAGAUUUUACUCUCUCUCUCUCUCCCUUUGUCUCUCUGAAUCUCUCUCUGUCUGUCUCUCUGUCUCCCUGAAUCUCUCUGUCUCCCUGAAUCUGCCUGUCCCUGCUGUUGUCAGGGUAACAUCUGUCUCCAUGCUCCAGUGACAUGUGUAGAACACUGACGAAGGAUGAGGGAAGGAGAGAAGGAUUAAGGGAGAGAAAGAGAGCAAAGGAUGGCUUUACGCACGUGUGCCCCAGUGCCAGAUGGACUUGUUCCCACUCUGGGCCAAGGCCACAGAGGGUGCACAAUCAGUGUGUGUGUGAACAGCAUAUAGUCAGGUGUUCCAAGCCCUACAGGGGUGUGUCAUUUUAGCAGGGCCCUCAGUUCCCAAUGUCCCAUUGUGACAGAGAGAGUGACUCCUCAGUGUCCCCGUAUCUCCUCUCGUUUCAAUAGGAGUGUGUAGCUCUUCAUCCAAGGUUCUUUGUGUUUGGAACUGUUGGAGUGGGGUUGUGUACAAGGAGUAAAGUACCACAUUCAGGGUGUGUGUAUGCGCUCAUGUUGACACUACAGUAUGUAGCUGUGUCGGUGUGGUCACGUGGGGUGACUAGGUAUGGAGUGGUUGGUAAAUACUGUGUGUUUCACAGAUGAUGAAGCAGCACGUGCCACCAACAGGCCUGCAUUGCUCACUGAUUCUGUCCCUGACUCAUAUCCUGUGUGACUGUGUCUCAGUGUGGUCCAGUGCAUCUGAAUAAAGCUCAUCAACAGUCUUCCCUUCAUGUCUCCUGCCCUGGUCGUAGCCUCCUGGUGGUUCCAGCAUGGUUGACUCUGUCACUAGGGUCCAGCUAGAGCUUUAGGAUUCAUAAAAAUCAGUUUUUCCUCUCGUGUCAUCUUCAGAAUGGCUUAGUGGACAAUGGAACCUAAAAGCAUGUAUUGUGAAUACUAGGAUAAUAUUAUGCGGGAGUGUGGGGGUUUGUGAAGCUCAGUUGGUAGAGCUUGUAACACCAGGGUAGUGGGUUCGGUUCCCGGGACCACCACUUAUGUCAAAUUGAUGCACACAUGACACAUCUGUUAAAUGGCCUAUGUACAGUACCAGUCAAAAAUGUCAUAGUAUUUAUGUUUUCACUAUUAUUCUACAAUGUAGAAUGUACUGUAUAUUAUUUGGCUAUUUACUGUUGGAGGGACCUCCACGUUCAGACAGAGCACCAGGUGCAGUCUAGCCACAGUUCUGUAAAUGUAAAGAGCUUUGGGUGUGUGUGUGUUUUGGUGUGUGUUUGAAAACGCUAACUUCCUCACACAGCACAAAGCACCAGGUGGGUCCAGCCUGUGUGAUAACCACGCCAAUGGAGGGUGUGUGUGUGUGUGUGUAUUUUGGCAGAGAAGCCUGCUGUGAAUCUCUUCUAUUCAUCAGAUUCUGGCCAGUCUUUUCUGGUUCGACCGACAGACAGAUGGAGACCAGACGUUCAUGUUCAGCGAUUAGUGUCUCUUCCCACUUGAAUCCAGAGCCACCCCUCAUUGUGAUUAUCCUUCUCCACAUCAGAUAAAUCCUCAAUGAUUUUAAACCUCUAUACUGACUGUUUUCAUCCACAGUAUCCUACGGACAUUAACAGGCUGUAAGGCAGUAGGUUCUCUACCUACGGUUCUAACUCCUGUGGUAACUGUGUGCUAGGAGCUAUAAUUCUGAUAAGUCUCUAUGGAUCAGAACAAGAGAACUCUAAUCCCUAUCUGGCCUCAGAGCCGGCAGAACUUCUCACUGAGGGAGUCUAGUGGAUUUGAUCCUCUCUGGUCACUUUCUUGGUUCUGCCUUUAACUGACUCUGGAUCAGCUUUCUGGAGCACCGGUCCCUAUUUGAACUAUUAUGUGUUGGGUUUUAGGGGCAGAAAGUUAGUACACAUUUAUUACGUUACAUACAACCUGAAAGAGAUAGAAAUGAACGUGAGCUGUUGUGCUCUUGCUAACGUCACUUGACCCUUUAAAUGUGUGAACUCACCUCAGUACAGUAACACUACAUAUUGUCCCUGUAUGGAACGCCAGCCCAGAAUCUGUUUGCCUUUAUUCUACAUGCCUGUGGCGAGACCUGGGAAUGACCUCUGGGAAUGGUUUUGUCGGCAGUGAGCGUCACACUGCUGGAAUGUUGGGCCCCUCGUUCAUUUUCAGAUGAGGAAACACGUUUUCUCUUUUCUCCCUUACUGCCAUGACAACUGCCGCCAGAACCAGCAGAGAGAGAAAUGGGGAAAUAUCCAUCUGUGCGUCUGUCUCUCCGUUUGAAACCAAAAUACCCACUACAUGAGUGGAGAAGAUUAGAUUACACACCUUUCUUCCCUCCCUGUCAUGAUUGUCUUAUUUAGAAGCAUAUUUAUAGUUCAGAGACCAGGGUAUUCCUGUUUGGUUUAAUUGACAGUCUCUUAUCAAUAUAAGUAUACAUUUAAAGGAUCCUUGACAGGAUAGAAUUUGCAUACAGAUGUGAGCGAUGUGUAUCAUUGUGUUACGAGACCCUUGGGUAGACUGAUAUUUAAUCAGUGGGGCAUUUUGGGGCAGCUCGUAAAUUCUGUGUUUGUGGGGAAGGUGUUAUUGAAAUUGGAUAGUGUGUUGCUCUACCCCUGUCUCUACCUCCCUCCUUCUAUCCCUACAUCCCUCCCCCUCUCUCUUCCUUCCGUCUCUGUGUUUCAGUGUGGUAGAACAGUUGUGUUGAUAAUUAUGUGGCAGCAGUGCUGGCUUCUCUCUGGGGAGCCUUUCUCUUCUCUCCUGUUUUCUCCCCCUGUGUUGAUUAGGAGACAGAGUCUGGAACAGAGCCAAGGGUCUAUUUACUGCCUCGAUGCCCAACAUGCGCGAGAGAGAUGGAAAAUAGGGAGAGAGAGAGAAAAUAUGUAGCAAGAGAAAGAGGGAAAAUAGGUAGAGAGAGAAAUAUGUAGAGAGAGAGGGAAAAUAGGUAGAGAGAGAAAUAUGUAGAGAGAGAGGGAAAAUAGGUAGAGAGAGAAAUAUGUAGAGAGAGAGGGAAAAUAGGUAGAGAGAGAAAUAUGUAGAGAGAGAGGGAAAAUAGGUAGAGAGAGAAAUAUGUAGAGAGAGAGGGAAAAUAGGUAGAGAGAGAAAUAUGUAGAGAGAGGGAAAAUAGGUAGAGAGAGAAAUAUGUAGAGAGAGGGAAAAUAGGUAGAGAGAGAAAUAUGUAGAGAGAGGGGGAAAAUAGGUAGAGAGAGAAAUAUGUAGAGAGAGGGGGAAAAUAGGUAGAGAGAGAAAGAGGGAAAUAGGUAGAGAGAGAGAGAGGGAAAAUAGGUAGAGAGAGAGAGAGGGAAAAUAGGUAGAGAGAGAGAGGGAAAAUAGGUAGAGAGAGAGAGGGAAAAUAGGUAGAGAGAGAGAGGGAAAAUAGGUAGAGAGAGAGAGGGAAAAUAGGUAGAGAGAGAGAGGGAAAAUAGGUAGAGAGAGAGAGGGAAAAUAGGUAGAGAGAGAGAGGGAAAAUAGGUAGAGAGAGAAAGAGGGAAAAUAGGUAGAGAGAGAGGGAAAAUAGGUAGAGAGAGAGGGAAAAUAGGUAGAGAGAGAGAGGGAAAAUAGGUAGAGAGAGAGAGGGAAAAUAGGUAGAGAGAGAGAGGGAAAAUAGGUAGAGAGAGAGAGGGAAAAUAGGUAGAGAGAGAGGGAAAACAUGUAGAGAGAGAGAGGGAAAAUAGGUAGAGAGAGAGAGGGAAAAUAGGUAGAGAGAGAGAGGGAAAAUAGGUAGAGAGAGAGAGGGAAAAUAGGUAGAGAGAGGGAAAAUAGGUAGAGAGAGAGAGGGAAAAUAGGUGGAGAGAGAAAGAGGGAAAAUAGGUAGAGAGAGAGGGAAAAUAGGUAGAGAGAGAAAGGAAAAUAGGUAGAGAGAGGGAAAAUAGGUAGAGAGAGAAAGAGGGAAAAUAGGUAGAGAGAGAGGGAAAAUAGGUAGAGAGAGAAAGAGGGAAAAUAGGUAGAGAGAGAGAGGGAAAUAGGUAGAGAGAGAGAGGGAAAUAGGUAGAGAGAGAGGGAAAAUAGGUAGAGAGAGAGAGGGAAAUAGGUAGAGAGAGAGAGGGAAAAUCGGUAGAGAGAGAGGGAAAAUCGGUAGAGAGAGAGGGAAAAUAGGUAGAGAGAGAGGGAAAAUAGGUAGAGAGAAAUAUGUAGAGAGAGAAAGAGGGAAAAUAGGUAGAGAGAGGGGGAAAAUAGGUAGAGAGAGAGAAAUAUGUAGAGAGAGAAAGAGGGAAAAUAGGUAGAGAGAGAGAGGGAAAAUAGGUAGAGAAAGAAAUAUGUAGAGAGAGAAAGAGGGAAAAUAGGUAGAGAGAGAGGGAAAAUAGGUAGAGAGAGAGGGAAAAUAGGUAGAGAGAGAGAGGGAAAAUAGGUAGAGAGAGAGGGAAAAUAGGUAGAGAGAGAGAGGGAAAUAGGUAGAGAGAGGGAAAAUAGGUAGAGAGAGAGGGAAAAUAGGUAGAGAGAGAGGGAAAAUAGGUAGAGAGAGAGGGAAAAUAGGUAGAGAGAGAGAAAUAUGUAGAGAGAGAAAGAGGGAAAAUAUGUAGAGAGAGAAAGAGGGAAAAUAGGUAGAGAGAGAGAGGGAAAUAGGUAGAGUGAGAAAGAGGGAAAAUAGGUAGAGAGGGGGAAAAUAGGUAGAGAGAGAGAGGGAAAAUAGGUAGAGAGAGGGAAAAUAGGUAGGUAGAGAGAGGGAAAAUAGGUAGAGAGAGAAAGAGGGAAAAUAGGUAGAGAGAGAAAGAGGGAAAAUAGGUAGAGAGAGAGAGGGAAAUAGGUAGAGAGAGAGGGAAAAUAGGUAGAGAGAGAGAGGGAAAAUCGGUAGAGAGAGAGGGAAAAUAGGUAGAGAGAAAUAUGUAGAGAGAGAAAGAGGGAAAAUAGGUAGAGAGAGGGGGAAAAUAGGUAGAGAGAGAGAAAUAUGUAGAGAGAGAAAGAGGGAAAAUAUGUAGAGAGAGAAAGAGGGAAAAUAGGUAGAGAGAGAGAGGGAAAUAGGUAGAGAGAGAGAGGGAAAAUAUGUAGAGAGAGAAAGAGGGAAAAUAGGUAGAGAGAGAGAGGGAAAUAGGUAGAGAGAGAGGGAAAAUAGGUAGAGAGAGAGAGGGAAAAUAGGUAGAGAGAGAGAGGGAAAAUCGGUAGAGAGAGAGGGAAAAUAGGUAGAGAGAAAUAUGUAGAGAGAGAGGGAAAAUAGGUAGAGAGAGAAAUAUGUAGAGAGAGAAAGAGGGAAAAUAGGUAGAGAGAGGGAAAAUAGGUAGAGAGAGAGGGAAAAUAGGUAGAGAGAGAACUAUGUAGAGAGAGAAAGAGGGAAAAUAGGUAGAGAGAGAGGGAAAAUAGGUAGAGAGAGAGAAAUAUGUAGAGAGAGAAAGAGGGAAAAUAUGUAGAGAGAGAAAGAGGGAAAAUAGGUAGAGAGAAAUAGGUAGAGAGAGAGGGAAAAUAGGUAGAGAGAGAGAAAUAUGUAGAGAGAGAAAGAGGGAAAAUAUGUAGAGAGAGAAAGAGGGAAAAUAGGUAGAGAGAGAAAGAGGGAAAAUAGGUAGAGAGAGAGAGGGAAAAUAGGUAGAGAGAAAUAUGUUGAGAGAGAGGGAAAAUAGGUAGAGAGAGAGAGGGAAAAUAGGUAGAGAGAAAAUAUGUAGAGAGAGAGGGAAAAUAGGUAGAGAGAGAAAGAGGGAAAAUAGGUAGAGAGAGAGAGGGAAAAUAGGUAGAGAGAGAAAUAUGUAGAGAGAGAGAGAGGGAAAAUAGGUAGAGAGAGAAAGAGGGAAAAUAGGUAGAGAGAGAGAGGGAAAAUAGGUAGAGAGAAAUAUGUUGAGAGAGAGAGGGAAAAUAGGUAGAGAGAGAGAGGGAAAAUAGGUAGAGAGAAAAUAGGUAGAGAGAGAAAGAGGGAAAAUAGGUAGAGAGAGAGAGGGAAAAUAGGUAGAGAGAGAAAUAUGUAGAGAGAGAAAGAGGGAAAAUAGGUAGAGAGAGAGAGGGAAAAUAGGUAGAGAGAGAAAGAGGGAAAAUAGGUAGAGAGAGAAAUAUGUAGAGAGAGAAAGAGGGAAAAUAGGUAGAGAGAGAGAGAGGGAAAAUAGGUAGAGAGAAAGGGAAAAUAUGUAGAGAGAGAAAGAGGGAAAAUAGGUAGAGAGAAAAUAUGUAGAGAGAGAAAGAGGGAAAAUAGGUAGAGAGAGAAAGAGGGAAAAUAGGUAGAGAGAGAGAGGGAAAAUAGGUAGAGAGAGAAAGAGGGAAAUAGGUAGAGAGAGAGAAAUAUGUAGAGAGAGAGAGGGAAAAUAGGUAGAGAGAGAAAGAGGGAAAAUAGGUAGAGAGAGAGAGAGGGAAAAUAGGUAGAGAGAGAAAGAGGGAAAAUAGGUAGAGAGAGAGAGGGAAAAUAGGUAGAGAGAGAGAGGGAAAAUAGGUAGAGAGAGAAAUAUGUAAAGAGAGAGGGGAAAUAGGUAGAGAGAGAGAGGGAAAAUAGGGGGAGAGAGAGAGGGAAAAUAGGUAGAGAGAGAAAGAGAGAAAAUAGGUAGAGAGAGAAAUAUGUAGAGCGAGA